RNAcentral lists this transfer RNA (65 nucleotides) under Omorgus chinensis. RNAcentral's name for it is "tRNA-Pro". The record is from RNAcentral. RNAcentral also lists the same sequence under 1 other name. Lineage: Eukaryota; Metazoa; Arthropoda; Insecta; Coleoptera; Trogidae.
CAGAGAAUAGUUUAUAAAAAUUUUAAUUUUGGAGAUUAAAGAUAAGAAAUGGUUCUUUUCUCUGA